UCUCCCCUCCUCGAGCUAUAGUGACCUCCGGAGAAAGCUGAGCCAUCAACUGGGAAUCCGCGUGGGGCUCGGAGUCUACCAGAACUCCUGUCUCCCGUACAGAGGGGAAGUGCCAUCGAGAGAGGCCUGACACUCUUGUAGCUGGAUGCUGGUGCUAUUUGUGCUUCUCAUCCCAGCCAGGCAGACUUGACCUUCACUCCUGACUUCCGCGAUCCCUUCACAACUGCAAGUCAUUUUCCUACAAAACUGGAGUUUGCCUACUCUGCGCCUUUGAGAGUUUUGGAACAGCAUGCAAGUUCACGUCGCCAUCACGUUAUCCUGCUGACUGUCUCAUGUGACGAGACCGACACCCGGGUCGCUUGCUUCUGCCCUUGUUCUUCUGCCUGUUGUCCCCUCUGCAGCCAUUGAGCACACGCACGUGUUGUCACGCAAAAGCCGUUUUGCUGUUUUUAUUUGUCUUGUGAAUGUUGUCAUUUGCUUCGUGCGUAUCACGAAUUAGUGUCGUGUACUGCUCAGUGAUCUAAAACUGUCACUAAUUAGAAAUUUGCGUUGAGUCUGGGUAGGAAUGGCACGCAAGCAGAAAAGCAAGAGUGCAGAUGCUAGAAGAGCAAAGAGGGCAAGAAAAGUGAUGUUUGCAGCAAACGAAAUGAAAGUUCUCGAAAUGCUCAAUAAUGGUGAAACCAAGACCUCUCUAGGGCCCUUUUUUUCCUUUUUUUGGCAUUAAUAAAUCUAUGAUUUGCACAAUAAAAAUAAGAAGCUAUUAGGGCCAAUCAAUCGAGGGGCACACUAGAAUCAUCAAGAACAUCAUACAUAACGUGAAAUGCCAACACAGAGACCAUGGAAAAGAUGUGCACGUGUGGCUUCUACCCCAGGGAGAGCUGCAUAGGCCUCCUCCUGUAUGCGUAAUCUGCCAGCGAGCAUCACAAAAACGCAAGUUUCAAUUUUCAUCUGGACAAAAGGUUACAACAUUCACUGUGAGUAAAGGGUGGUUGGCUAGGUUUAAGAAAUGCUGUGGUCUGUCUGAAAAGAAAUGGUCGGCAGAGGAAGCAGAUCGUGAGGCUGCUGCUGGCUACCCUGAAUACCUGAUGGAAUGGAUUGAGGGAAAUGGCUAUUUCUUCAGUGCUGACGAAAUGGCCCUGUUCAGGAAGUACAUGCCUACUUGCACACCUUUUGCAGAGGAUGAGAAAAAGACCAGAGGCUUCAAGCCUGGAAAGGACAAGCUCAAAGUUCUGUUUUGUUCCAACGGUUCUGGUGAUUGAUUAAACCCACAUUGCUUCACAGAUUGCGAAGUCCUUGCCCUCUUAAAAGAGAAUGCUAGAAACACUUUUCUGUUUACAUGAAGGGAAACCAUAAAGUAGGGAUCACUGAGAAACUCUUUUUGGGCCAGUUUUUGAAGUCUUCAUUCCUGAGGUUACACAAUAUUUAAACCAAAAAAAACAAAAACAAAACCAAAAAACCUUGAAUUCAAAGUUGCUGCUUUUGGACACCUGCUCCUACUGCCAAAAGUGCAAUAGUAAAUGCUGAUCCUUGUGUUCCAGUCACCUCCACCCCCCAGUACAACUCCACUCCUUCAACCCAAGCAUCUGGGAGUGCUGAAAAUUGUUUGUGACGGAAGAAGAGGCUGGACCUUCGGGCCAUGUCAUUCAAACCCAUUCUACAAACAGCAGGCAGAAAGGCCACACACAGAUAGUCGAACCUUGGGGUUCAGACUCCAACAGCUCUGAUGAUGUGGUGAUCCAAGUGCUGGAGGAUGAAAGUAGAACGGAAGGUUGAGCUUACUUCUCUCCAGACAAAACCCAAUUGUCUUGAUUCUUUCCCUAUCACUACUCUGAUGACCAGCAUUUUCGCUGACGCAUGAUUGUCCUGACUUUGAGAUCAGAGAGAAACAGAAAUCGGUUGCCCAGUCAUCACUAUUACUGAUGUGAAAUUGGUAAAAUACCAACAAGAUUCACUUUACUUAGUGUCUUAUUUCAGCGAACAGACCAAGUGUCUGGGCUGUCAUAAUACCCACUUCCCUGCUGCAAUUCCCCCCCGAGGCUCAUAAGUCCCCCCAACACAGAUUCCUCUACAGUGAGGGUUCCAGGAAGUCAACUCCAAUACGUAGGGAGGGGGGACACUCUAUGUGGUUGGACAACUUGAUUUUGUACUCUUGAUACUGACAUUUAUUUUAAUCUUACUUAAGCCUAACUUGCCAUCUUGACAGAAAGAAUCUAGACUCAUUCGUUUGGUAUCAGUUAAUUUGUUUUCCAGCAGUUGUAGAUGUAGCCAUUGGUCAGUCUUUAAGGCAGUGCGUUUAAAAUGCAUUCUGGGAUUUACUCUUGGUAUCUACUCAAGGAGUAAAACCUGCCAGAGUUCAUCUCCAUUGACCCUCUCUGUUGUCCUAUCUGGUCUUCCCAGUGAUUUGCAUAUUUAAAUACCCUCUGGGAAAGGGAUAUCGAAACUUCUUCCCGAAAGGUGGUAGAAAUCCAAUGAUCCACACCACCCUCGGCGGCUGAAGGUUUGAAUGAUAGCUUACCUAUAUCUGAGUUUGAAGUGGUCAGAGGAAAGGGAAGAAAAUCCAAGAGUUAAAAGGGCUUGCUUGCAUAGUUACAGUUGAGGUAUCAGGCAUUCCCCAACAGGUUCAAAAGAGGCAGAUGAGAGUUGAAAACUCAUUUUCAGGUGCUGUGGGUCUAGCGGCCCGCCACAGUGCCAGAGGAGCUCACUCCCUUGCCUUACAGUAGUUCUCGACACAUCAAAAUCACGUUGGGGGGCUUUGAAAAAUACAGAUUUCUGGGACCUGCCCCUGGAUGUACUGAAUCAGGGAUGGGGUCAGCACCUGUAUAUUUUUAAAGCUCCUCAACCGAUGUUUUAUACAGCCAUGGUUGUUAACUGCUGCUCUCAGUCUGAACAGAAUUCUAGUAGAAAAUGUAAUACAAAUGGUAGUGGGCCCAGCAGCCAGGAAACCCUGAUCCUAAAUUUCGGCUCCACCACUGACUCAAUGGAUGGUCUUAUUCAAAUCACCCUACUUUUCCCUUAUCUGUCAAGUGAAAGAGUAGGACCACUUGGUCUCUAAGGUCCCUCUCUCUCUGCACCUCAAAAGAAAGGUGCAUCAACCUCAUUGGUUGAUUGUGAGUGUGCCUGAGCCCUUUCAUAGAGACCAAGGUAAGUAGCAGCAUUACCGUACUGUGUUCCUGUUAUUUUAAAAAUCGUGCUUCUGGUUCAAGUUUUACCAUGUUUUAGUGCCUUCCAGAAAAGAGAGUUAGGCAUAGAAAAACGAGAAACAAACAUGGCAUCAACUUCCUGAAAAGAAAGACAGAGAGGACCUCCUAUGAGUUUCUUAUUUGUGUUAAUGGCGAUUUUUCUUCUUGAGUUACAGGGCUUGGGGAAAAUAAUAAUGCAUAGAUAUUAUGAGUAAAACAUCUUAACAUGUUGUAUCUAUUGUUUUCAUAAACCAAAGCAGAGAACUCUGUAUGGUUACUGUUUCAAGGUUCCAUGGAUAAUUGGUACAUUCUGAAUCAUAUCUAGAGGUAAAUAUUUUUAAGUCGAUGACUAUUUUACCAGUAGAAUCAGUGGUUCCAUAUGCCUUUAGAGAAUGUGGUUUCCUGAGAAUUUUACCAUUUCUUGAGAUUACUGCCUUGCCAUUUUAUUUCUCUUAAAUUUGACCAGAAUUAGAGAAAUCAAAUUUAAGUUGAACAGCAUCAACCAGGAACCAUUACUAUAAAAAUAAUGCAAUGGGAAACCAACUAUUAUAUCAGUUUAGUUGUCACAGAAAUGCCUAGACUUUGGCUUGAGAGGUGGAAAUGUUUGUCUAGGGACCAGGCCAUUUGAAAUAAAAUAAUUGAGAUAAAUCUAAUUCUUGUUUAAUGCAAUAUCCAGUUAACAUAAUCUAAGAAGUCUCAUUGAUGACGAUAAAAUCUAGAACAUUUCAAUAUGGCUGAGUUUAACAAGUCAGCAGAACUUACAGGUGGAUUUGAAAGUUGGUAUAGACCUAAGCGGUAGAAAUAGAAAUGAAUGACAACAUUGCCAUGCAAAUGGUGUUUCUUUUUUCUUUUUAAAAUUAAGAAUAGUCCCCAAAAUUGACAAGCUGAAAUUUCUUUUAGAAGAUUGUAUGCACAGUUUGGGUGAAAAGAAUCUUCCUCUUGUCAAAUGGUUCAGGUAAAUUGUUGUGUUCACUAUUAUGGAAUGCAUGGAGUUUUCCUUCUUUACAGACAUAUUUAACCACUGGAAAAAGAAAAGAAAAGGAAAAGGAGGUGGGGAGAAAGGGCAGCCCAGGUUGAUGAAACUUGUAGAGAAUAUUAGAAAACUGGUAUUACAUUUAAAAAGAGCCCUUUGUUUGUUUAAAAUCUUUUCCGUUCAAAAUGCAGACAAGGCUCUUUAAACCACACAUUUGGAUUACACAGCUGCCACCACCUGAAUGCUAAUAAAGGGCUUCUACGGCGUGUAUAGCCAAAGAGUGUGCGAACCACGUUUGUGCUAUGGAAUAUAUUGAUCACUGAACUUUACAUAGAGUUACCUUUUAAUGGUCUUCAUGUCAAUGUGCUAUGGUUGUUUAUCUAAGAAUUCAGAAAUAAAUUGUGGCAUGAACAGAGUGUAUAUGUUCUUGGGAGCCAUAAAAUCACAUAGAAAAUAGAUGAAAGCCCAGAUAGGACAUUUCACUAGCGCGAACAACAAACGUUGGGAAAUUAAAUAGGAAUCUAGUGUGCUUGAGACAUUGCACUUCAUCCCGUGAUAUAAUUAACCCAUUUUUGCAAACACCUAGAAUUAACUCCUGAUUUCCUGGCAGGGGCAUGAGGAAGGCCGUGAUGAGAAGAACCCGGGACAUAGAUAAAUGAGGGCUUUGCCAUUGGCUUCUUGUCUGCGUGGGGUGGGGACUCCCUCUCUUUGCGUGAGUGGCGCUUGGUCCCCGCAGGAUCACCCUUGAGCUAUUGGGGUGCGGCAAGUCAGCGUGGGGCCUAGGUUUGGGGAUCAGAGUUGCUUUCAAUCCUGUCCCUGCCAAUUACCAGCUAUGUGACUGUGGGCAUGCUUUUUAACCAUUUCAGACUUGAGUUUCUAAUCUGUAAAACGGGGUCGAAAAGUACCUGCCAUUAUAGGAUUGCUAUGAGAUUAUAUGAAAUGCCUAGUACAGUGCCUGGCACAUAGUAAGCGCUCAAUAAAUUGUUGCUAUUAUUAUUAUAACAAGCAUUAUAGAACUAAAGAUGAUAGUUUACUCAUGUUUUUGCAGUAUUUUAAUAUUUUGAUAUUUUAUCUAAUUUCCUUCAAAAAAUGGUAUGCAUGAUGGUUUUAAGAAGAGAGAAGGAAUAACAAUUGAUUUUCAAUAUUUUUCUUUGCUUGUGAAAGAUACCUGAAAUGAUAAUUCCUUUGCCCCUGUGGUGCUCCUUGACUGCAGCUCCAUUUAUAUGUGCUUUAUUUAUCAAGUGGUUAUCCUUGCAUGAUAUUUAUUCAUAUACGGAUGACUUUUAAUGACUUUUUUCACAUGGAUAUAUUCCUAUUCUCUAGAAAAUAAUCCAUCCACUUGGUUCCACUUUUAAGAUAAUUAAGUCACUCUGUGUUAAUAGGAGCUAACAAUAAAGCUCUAUAGGACCUACUUUGCUUAAACCACCAAAUUAUUAGCUCAGCUGCCUUUGAGAGAAAAUUGGAUAUCUAAGUACUCUUACGAGGGGAGGACAAUUCCGCAUAACUCGCUUCUGAACAUCUUUGCUAUUUCAUGCAUUCUGUGAUGGCAUUCAAGAAACUUAGCAUCAUGCUUUCCAGAAUGCUGAGUAUUCAUCAUCAUCCAACUGCUGGAACUGUUGGGUAACAGAGCUGUCACUGCCUCAGUUCAAGCCCCCGUUACCACUUAGCCUGGAUGAUUAUAGUGGCUUCAUAACUCACAUCCCAACUCUUUUAGUGUUUGAACCUGGGAGUCUUUGAUGUUCUAGUAUAUUAUGUCUGGUAGUCUUCGGCACUUGGCUGCUUGACACAUUUUCCUCGUGUACAAUUCGGAUGCUGGUACUUCCUUGUUCAAAAAUCUUCAGUGGCUGCCCAUUGUCUAUGUAUUCCACUACUUAACCUUUAAAUCAUGACCCAGGCCCAGCGUAUUGUAACCAGUUGUGCCGGCCGGUGUUCUCUUUCCUACAGUGUAUGUGAUCACCCGUGUCUUCCUCAGCCCUGCCUAAGUACUAAAGAUCUUCAGCUUACAACUCAACCCUGAUCUCUUACAUUUGUUGCUUAAGCUCUGGUGGGUAAGAGCAGAAAUUAGACUUAUUACCUGAAGCCAGAGUGCCUGAGAUGAGACUUCAAAGCUGUAGCCUCCUUCCUCUUCUCCCCCAUUAUUACGAACACCUAGACUUGGCUCUUGAUUAAUUGGCGGUGGCAUGAUGAGUGUCCUAAUGAGAAGAAUAUGGGACACAGAGUGAAGGCUUUGCCACUUAUUCUCUGCCCUGGGCUGGGGACUCCCUCUCUUUGGAUGAAUGGUGCUUAGUCCUGGAAGGAUAAGCCCAGUGUGUAAAAGUGACUUUCUUCUUUAAUAUUCUUUUUAAGCUUCCAGCCUAUCGAGUUAGGGUAUCCUCACUGAACCCCAGCCCCGUUUGCCUGGGGUCCUGAAUGCUACCCAUUCAAUUUUGGCUCUAAAUACAAAUAUUCUUGUUGUGCCCCUGAAAUAAUUAAGUGGAGAUCUAAACUCCAUUCUCAGGUUCUUGCUAGCCACCUAUCCUGAGCAUCAUCACAUACAUGGUAUCUUUAUUUACCACCGGGCUUCAAAUUGCUCUACACACUCUUUUGCAUGUGAAUGCUAGCCUGGGAUGUACUUAAUAUACUUACUAUACCCUAGAUUUGGCAUCUAGAGCAGGAACUGGCAAACUAAGGCCUUUGGGUCAAAACUGGCCCAACUUUUUUUAAAUAAAAGUUUUAUUGCAACACAACCAUGCCCACUCAUUUAUGUAUCACCCAUGGCUACAUUAUAAUGAUAGAAUUGAGUAGUUGCAAUAGAAACCAUAUGGCCCACAAAAUCUUAACUAUUUACAGAAAACAUUGGCUGGCUGACUCCUAUUUAAAGUCAAGUAGUUCUCCAAGCUGGAUGUUCCUUCAUCUUUGAUAAUUCCUCAUUCACAUCCUGUCAAACAAUACAAGGCUAGUUCACUGGGACUAUGAAAAUAGGUUCCAACCCAUUCAAACUACUUGCUUUCGCUUGAAUUUCCCUGCUUCCUCUUUGUCAUCUUCCUAAGAUGUCCUUUCUCUGUGUUUUGCUUUUUAGUGAGAGAUGCCAUAGUUAUAAAGACUACUAGAGUAGCCUUAUCAUAUGUCUUUAAAUGUCACAUCAGGUCCAUAUGUGAAAGUCUUUCAACAUUGCCAAUAUCUUUCAACACGACCUUCUAGUAUCUCUAAGAUUAGGCCUUUUGAUUCGUUAGUAUCUCUAACAUCAGGUUUUCUGAGCUUCACAGUUUCCAACAUCUCCAAUUGCCAGAUCUUCUAAAUGUUACAAUGCCCACAUCUUCUACUCUCUGGCCUGAAGCAUCUCCAAUGCCAGGGUUUUCUAAUCUCCUCAUCAUCGGGGACAUUAAAACUCUAGGUCUUCUACUUUCUCCAAUAAUCAAUCAUCAAGUUCCAGGUCUUGUCUCAGGGUCCAGAGUUCUAAGUUCCAAUUUCUCUAUGUUCCCAAUCCUCCAGUGUCCCAUAUAUGCACGUCUUCUAGAGUCCACGUUUUAUUGUGUCUUAGUGCAGCUCUUCUAAUAUCUUCUAGCUCUCACGUCAUUUGGUUCCUACAAUUUUUAGUGUCUCCUAAAUUCUGAUUUUACAAUGUCUCAUUAUCACCAGUUCUUCCACUGCCCAAGUCUUUCAAUAUCUCUUAAGAACCAGAUUUUCCAAUGGUUAGGUGUUCCAACAUCCCCAAUGUCUGGAUGACUUGGUCUUUUGACAUCCUGACAUCUUACUGUCCAAGUCUCUUAAUGUCUAGGGCUGCCAACGUCCUUGACUUCCAGCAUCAUGAAAAUUAUAGCUUCCAAAUUCUGUGUCUUAACAUGAAUGUGUCAAUAUCCAGGUUUCCCAAAUAUCUCCCAAUACCCAGGGCUUCCAAUUUUAGGAUUUCUAAAUGUCUAGAUCUUCCAUUGUCUAUAUCUUCCAAUGUUUAGGGCUUCCAAGGUGCAGGACUUACAAUGCCUCUAAGUAUUCAGGGCUUCCAGUACCCAUGAAUUCCAAACAUUUAGGGUCUCCAAAGUCUCCAACGUCCAGAAUAACCAAUGUCCACAAAAUCUAAGGUUUCCAAUGUCUCCAAUAUCCUGUGCUUCCAAUGUCUCCAAUGUCCAGGGUUUCCAAUGGUGCCAGUGUCAAGGUCUUCCAACAACUCCAGGUCUUCCAGCAACUACAAGUCUUCCAACAAAUUCUAAGUCUUCCAACAACAUCAAGGUCUUCCAGAUAAUCCACGUCUUCCAGUAAUUAUAGGUCUUCCAUAAAACCCAUAUCUUCCAGGAAAAUCCACGUCUUCCAGGAAAAUCCACGUCUUCCAGAAAAUCCAUGUCUUCCAAUGGUUUCAAGGUCUUCCAGACAAUCCACAUCUUCCAGCAAUUUCAAGGUCUUCCAGCCAAUCCAUGUCUUCCAGAAAAAAACUGUCUUCCAGCAAAUCCAAGUCUUCCAAUCAAUCCAAGUCUUCCAGCUGACUUAUGUCUUCCGGAAAAUCCAGGUCUUCCAGUCAAUUGAUGUCUUCCAGAAAGAAAUCCAGGUCUUCCACUCACUCCAUGUCUUCCAGAAAAAUACACGUCUUCCACCAAAUCCGUAUCUUCCAGAAAAGUCCAGAUCUUCCAACCAAUCCAUGUCUUCCACCAAAUCCAGUCUUCUAGUCAGUCGACGUCUUCCAAACAAAAUUGAUGUCUUCCACUAAAUAAAUCCAGGUCUUCUAAUAAAGCCACGUCUUCCAGAAAAUUGAUGUCUUCCACUAGAUUCAGGUCUUCCAACAAAUAUAUGUCUUCCUAGAGAUCCACGUCUUCCGGAAAAAAAAUCCAUGUCUUCCGGGAACCUCCAGGUCUUCCAGCAAAUCUACGUCUUCCAAACAAUCCAGGUCUUCCAGACAACUCGGGUCUUCCUGAAAAUCCACGUCUUCCAGGAAAUCCACGUCUUCCAGUGACCUCCAGGUCUUCCAGAAAAUCGACGUCUUCCAGAAAAUCGAUGUCUUCCAGCAAAUCCACGUCUUCCAACAAGGCUGUGUCUUCCAUCAAAUUCAUGUCUUCCGGCCUACCCACGUCUUCCAACAAAUUUGUCUUCCAGAAAAUCCACGUCUUCCAACUAAACCGCGUCUUCCAGAAAAUCCACGUCUUCCAACUAAACCACGUCUUCCAGAAAAUCCACGUCUUCCUGCAUCUCCAGGGCUUCCAGCAUCUCCAGGGCUUCCAGCAUCUGCUCGUCUUCCAGCAUCUCUGUGUCUUCCAGCAACUCCACGUCUUCCAGCAUCUCCACGUCUUCCGACAACUACCCAGUCUUCCAACAGGGGGCUCAAUAUCCACAUCUUCCAACGUCUCCAGAGUGCCGGUCUUCUAACAUUGGGUCUUCAGUGUCUACAAUAUCCAGGUAUUCUAACAUGUUCCAUAGUCCAGGUCUUCUGACCUUUCCCCAGGUCCAGACCUUUUUAAAAUUAGUCUUCCCAAGUCCAAGCCUUUCUGUGUUCAGAGCCUUCUACAGACAGGCCCUCCAACACAAGUAAUCCUGCCUACAGUAGAUUUAGCCUCAAAAAAUUUAAUAAGGUGUUCCUUCUUACAGACCAGAUUUUAUGGAUUAACUGUAUUGCAGCUUAAUAGUGUUUUCUGCUAUUAGUAAAUAUGUAUUUAUGCUUUACAACUUUUUAAGAUAGUGUUCAUAAAACAGCCUCUGGAAAAUAAACACACUGAUGGGAUUGCUGUGAGAAAUUUUGCUACUUCCCUAAUGCUUAUAGGUUUCAUAUAGUCAACUAUGUUUAGGUGCAAGUGGAAUUCUUAUUUAAUGAAAAAAAAAUCCUGUUUAGAGACUGUUUAUUAGAGUUAACAUACAGUGUAUUUAUCCAUUUCUUUUAACACCAGUUUUUGUUUGGUCUUAUGUGACCAAUUAAUAAUAAUAGUAAUCAUAAUAAUAACACUUGACAUAGCAUUUGCUACGUCCAGGCACUGUUCUCAGGUUGUAACAUGCAUCAACUCAUUUAAUCUUCCCAAGAACCCAUUGAGGUAGGUGCUGUCAUCUCCGUUUUACAGAUGAGGAAACUGACACACAGAAGUGAAGUAACUUGUCCAAAGGACACAACUAAUAAGUGAAAUGAGAAAGCUGGGAUUUGGACUCAGCUAGCUUGUGACCAGAGCCCAUGAUCCUAACCGCUAUGCUAUAAUAUCUGCUGCUGAAAGUCAAGAUGAGAAUUAUGGGAUCCAAAGCGUGAUUGCUCCCGUUUUAUGUGCAGACUAUUAUCAGAUCUUAUGUCCAAAUGGUCUCACUUUUUCCUGUCACUAUCAGAACAUAUUUGUAUCCACAGAUCUCAUUCCUCAACUAUUUACUAUUAUUCCCUUGCCCAUGUGUAUGGAACUAGGCACAAACACUUCCUGAUACCGUUUUCAAUUUGGGCAGAAAUAAGGAAGCACUGAGUUCAAGAGCCGUUUGCUUUAGAAUCAUAUUCAUAAGUCCAUGCUUUGAAUCCUGGUGCUUGGAAUUUGGCCCUCCCAUCAACUUCAAUCUCUUACCACUGACCAUUCUCCAGUUUUACCUUACUAUAUAGACCACUUAUCAUUAGUUUGUUUCUGACCUCCAGGAUUUACCUGUUUCUUCACAUAUCAUUGACCUCCUGGAUUCCUGACUACUGUCUUGUGUUCAACUAAUGGUAACUACAACUCCCUAACCCCCAGCAUGCUGACCUAGAGAACUAACUACUUGGUUCUCCACGUCUCACCUCCUAACAGGUGCUUCCAGCAAUAUUGCUACCAUGCCUCUGGGUGGCAUGACAAGCAUUAAAGCUACAUAAUGAAAUUAUGGUUGGUCAAGGGAUCCCUAAAGAUCUAGAAUUGUCUACAUGGUAAUACAAAUGAAUAAUAAUUAUUAUUAAAAUUGAAAUACCUUCCAAAUGUCUAAUGAUUUAUUUUGCAAAGUGCUAUCAUUUCAUCCAUCAUCCAUGUCUUCAUUCAUUCAACAAAUGUUUAUUGAGCGCCAACUGUGUGCCAGGAAUAUUUUCAUGGAGCUCAAAAUCACCUAGGGGAAACCGACAGUGUACAAAUAAUUGAACAAUUAUCUAUCAGUUGUUGCAAGACCAUGAAGGAAAAGUAAGUAUAGGAUGUUGUGAGAGUCUGGAAAGUUAAGGAAAGCAUUCCUGAGGAAGUAACAUUUAUGGUGACUGAAGGAUCUAUUUUCUCGUUUGAUUAGUAAGAUGGGUGUUUUAUAUCAGGUUAGACAGCAAGUACUAGCGAUGGGCAUGGGAUCCAUGUAUUUUGACUUCUUUUUUUCCCUACUACUCCAUGCUGCCUUAAAAAAUGUAUGUAUAGUAAGUAUAGUUUUGGCACUAUAUGUCAAGGGAUAUAAAAAUGUUGGUCCUCUUUGACUUCAUAUUUUCAUCUCAGUGAAUCUAUUCAAGAUUUCAUUUAAAAUUAUUUCAUUUAAAUGCGGAUAAUUCAUGCACAAAGAUGUUCCUCACGUAGUAGUUGGUAUAGUGAAAAACAGAAAAACCUAAGGGUCUCACUUUAAGGGCAUGAUUAGGUAAAUGUGCUAUUUCCAUGUGAUGGAAUAUUCUUUCAUUAAAAUAUCUGUGGUAUGUUGAUAUUAUAUAAUGUUAAGUGAAAAAUCAGCACACAAGAUUAUAUAAAGUGUGACUGCAAUUAUCUUGAGUAUAUAUAAUCAGAGAAACGACUAGAAGUAAACAUAUUGGAGAUUGUGAACUAAUUAUCUCUAGGUGGGUACGUUUAUGUGUGACUUGUGUGUACUUCUUGGUGUUCUUUUUUUUUUCUCCCAAAGUUCUUACAGUGUGAAAGUAUUUUAUAUUCAGGAAAAAUAUUUAAAUGAUUGUGCAUAAACGUUCAUUACUUAUUCAUCUUAUUAUACAUGUAAUCAAGUUUUACUGUUGAAAACACUUCAAAAUGAAAGAAACCAAAUUGAAAAAAAUUAAGAUCUCAAAUAAACUCAAUACUUAGAGAUAAUUUCUAUAAGGUUUUUGGUGUCUAUUUUUCCACCCUCUUUCACAGGUAUGCUUAUUCUCUUUUACAAAAUGGAAUCAUACUUAUAUUUAACCCAGUUUUCCCCUUAACAAUAAAUUAUAAACGUCUUCCCAUGUCA
This is a long non-coding RNA of Leopardus geoffroyi (Geoffroy's cat), 12219 nucleotides long. RefSeq lists it as uncharacterized. The record is from RefSeq and is a predicted model, not a curated record. NCBI's taxonomy places the organism in Eukaryota, Metazoa, Chordata, Mammalia, Carnivora, Felidae. The transcript is spliced from 3 exons.